AUUUUUUUAGUACAAUUAGUACAAAUGAUUUCCACUCAUUAAGUUCUGGUUUAACUCCAGGAAAAAAUA
This 69-nucleotide transfer RNA is filed under the name Polypedates braueri (Java treefrog). RNAcentral describes it as "tRNA-Gly". It matches the Rfam family "tRNA". Rfam says of the family: Transfer RNA (tRNA) molecules are approximately 80 nucleotides in length. Their secondary structure includes four short double-helical elements and three loops (D, anti-codon, and T loops). The record is from RNAcentral. Lineage: Eukaryota; Metazoa; Chordata; Amphibia; Anura; Rhacophoridae.